UACGUAGGGGCCAAGCGUUGUCCGGAAUUAUUGGGCGUAAAGAGCUCGUAGGCGGUGUGUCGCGUCGGCCGUGAAAACCUGCAGCUUAACUGUGGGCUUGCGGUCGAUACGGGCAUCACUGGAGUUCGGCAGGGGAGACUGGAAUUCCUGGUGUAGCGGUGAAAUGCGUAGAGAUCAGGAGGAACACCCGUGGCGAAGGCGGCACGCUGGGCCGGCCCUGACGCUGAGGCGCGAAAGCGUGGGGAGCGAACGGG
Molecule: ribosomal RNA, 254 nt
Filed under: uncultured bacterium
Lineage: Bacteria
Description: partial 16S ribosomal RNA
Rfam family: Bacterial small subunit ribosomal RNA
Source: RNAcentral